UCAGAUUGAAUGUUUCAUGGAUUAUCUGGAUUAUAAAAGUUCAGGAGCAGAAGAAGAUGAAAUUUCAACAGAAUCGGAUCAGACGCAGAGGACAUGAAGUUGAAAAUACGUGUACCAAAAAAUGUAUCAUAUAACAUUCCUUAAUUAAAAAUUGUAUUAAUUGUC
Long non-coding RNA from Magallana angulata, 165 nucleotides. RefSeq lists it as uncharacterized. The record is from RefSeq and is a predicted model, not a curated record. The transcript is spliced from 2 exons. NCBI's taxonomy places the organism in Eukaryota, Metazoa, Mollusca, Bivalvia, Ostreida, Ostreidae.